GACGAACGCUGGCGGCGUGCCUAAUACAUGCAAGUUGAGCGCUGAAGGUUGGUACUUGUACCAACUGGAUGAGCAGCGAACGGGUGAGUAACGCGUGGGGAAUCUGCCUUUGAGCGGGGGACAACAUUUGGAAACGAAUGCUAAUACCGCAUAAAAACUUUAAACACAAGUUUUAAGUUUGAAAGAUGCAAUUGCAUCACUCAAAGAUGAUCCCGCGUUGUAUUAGCUAGUUGGUGAGGUAAAGGCUCACCAAGGCGAUGAUACAUAGCCGACCUGAGAGGGUGAUCGGCCACAUUGGGACUGAGACACGGCCCAAACUCCUACGGGAGGCAGCAGUAGGGAAUCUUCGGCAAUGGACGAAAGUCUGACCGAGCAACGCCGCGUGAGUGAAGAAGGUUUUCAGAUCGUAAAACUCUGUUGGUAGAGAAGAACGUUGGUGAGAGUGGAAAGCUCAUCAAGUGACGGUAACUACCCAGAAAGGGACGGCUAACUACGUG
RNAcentral lists this ribosomal RNA (497 nucleotides) under uncultured bacterium. RNAcentral's name for it is "partial 16S ribosomal RNA". It matches the Rfam family "Bacterial small subunit ribosomal RNA", at positions 28 to 507 of the family's 1533-position model. The record is from RNAcentral.